Anoplopoma fimbria (sablefish) is the source of this 2971-nucleotide long non-coding RNA. RefSeq lists it as uncharacterized. The record is from RefSeq and is a predicted model, not a curated record. NCBI's taxonomy places the organism in Eukaryota, Metazoa, Chordata, Actinopteri, Perciformes, Anoplopomatidae. The transcript is spliced from 2 exons.
UUCUGAUCGCUGGUUUUGUUUAAUUAGUAUGUGUGGUGGCAUUAUUCCACACGAUUAGUCAAGUCUCUUUGAUGUGUUUUCUCCACUUUGUGUUUCUUUUGCUGGGGUGGCUGUGGCGUAGUGGAGAGCAAGGUAGUUCUCCAAUCAGAGGGUUGGUGGUUCGAUACCCGGCUUCGGCAGUCGAUGUGUCCUUGGGCAAGACACUUAACCCCAAGUUGCUCCUGAAGGCCAUCGGUGUGGACUGGAUGAUGAAUGUUAGUUAGAGUCUGAUGGUGGCACCUUGAUGGUAGCCUGUCAUCAGUGUGUGAAUGGGUGAAUGAUAUGUAAUAUACUACUGACUGUAAGUCGCUUUGGAUGAAAAGCGUCUGCUAAAUGACUCUAAUGUAAUGUAAUGUAAUGUAACGCAACAAGAAAAUGUUUUCUAUUGAAACAUUAAAGGAAGUUUGAUACUAAGAAGACUGUAACUUUGGAGGAUGAGAAAGAGGAACGAUAACAUCAAACUAGAAAGAUUCGCAAUAAAUUUUGACUGUGUGGCUGCUACUGCCCGAAGACGUUGCAUAUAUUUACAGUUCUGAGACAGCUGUAUCAAUGAGGUUCAUUUAGGGUUAGUUUGAGGUUCAUUUGAGGUUAAUUUGAAAAAAGAAAGUAAGUCCAAUCGCAUAAAUAAUACUAGAAAAUGCAUUUACUGCAGAAAAUGCGUUGCACAGAGCAUUGCUGAAAAUGUGGAAGUUUCAAAUGACUGAGGAAGCCCAAAAGCCAAGAACUGCACUGUUGAAAAAAAGCUGGUAGUUGAAUUGUAAAACUGGCAGAGAUGGAAGCUGAACUGCUUCAUCAAAAGAAGCAAAGAGCUGAAAUACAAUGAAGAAAAAGCUGGAAACUGAACUGUUAAACUGUAGUAUCAGUGGUUUAGUAAAAGAAACCGUCUAAUCAGAAAUAGUAGGAGGAGAAGAAAUUGUUGUAGUAUUGUAAAAAAAAAUACCUGAUGACUCACAGACAAGUUCGCAGCAUAACCCCUUUAAAAGUUUAAAUUAAAAUAAUCAUCUUUUUGCAUUUGUACAGACUGAUAAAUGCUAAAACACUGACAGGAAGUACUCAUUCUCUCUCCGUGAAUACGGAAGGAAGUUUAUUUAUAAAAGCGUUUUUUUGAAACUCCUUUGCAACACUUUCAAUUUGAUUUACACAGAAACGGAAACCUAAAAAGGAGUGGCACAGACUCUCACAAACAAAGAGAUCAGACACCUAACGGCUGCAGACUGACUGAGGAUGAUGAAGAUGACAGGAAGAGUCCUGAUGUGUGUAGCUCUGCUCCUGCUCCUGUCCUCUGUGUCGGCUGUACAGAGACACCUCGAUUCAAUCAACGAUUUGAAGAAAAUCGACUUUGAUCAAUCUGUGUCCAAACACAGUCUUGUGUUGCUCUACUGGUUUGCCAACGCAGUGGAUAUUGAUUCUAACAAUAACAUGUGGCUGACCUUUGACCCGAACAGAGGAGAGUAUAGCUCACAUCCUUAUCACAACUCUGAGGGACUGUUGGAGCCACUGCCUCGGGGAAAUGAUUACCAGUACUUCACUAUUGGCAAUCUCUAUCAAAUAACAUCCAGGCAACUUCCUCCUUAUGUUGCCCGUCCUCCAUCAGGGUAUGUGGGAAGAAACAGGGACCGGAUCAUAAUUCGUGUCAGAGAGCAGAACACAGGAUUGCGAGCUUCACAGAGGAUAGACCAAGUUUAUAUCACACAGCAUUAUGAAAAUCUUGGUACAGCGUAUGAUCCAGAUCAUACCUACAGGAUCACUAUCAACCUCUUGAGACAGAUCAGAGAGUUUUCUGUGGGAGGAAACCAACAGCAACUGCUGCAGCUCAGAAACCGCUUUGGAAGCAACGCUGAUGUUCUCCACAUCACAAACACAUGGGGUGAACUUGCUUCCUUGGACUGCUGCUGUUUAUUGUGAUCCAGGAAAAAAACUCCUCUAACCAACAAAACAAAAGACCAAAAAACAGAAGAAGUCCUUUGGAUGAUAAUUCGGACAGAGAGACCAAUGUUCCUAGCGGUUCUAGAAACCAAGGUGACGUUGUAUUGAACAUCAGUGAUGAUGAAGACCAAAAUGUGAGCAGGACGACUUGGAACAGAGAAUCCCACUUUCACAAUACCUCAGUACCCCAGAACGACUGCCAGUGGUCGUUCUGUUGUGAAUAUGUUUGCAGUGUCAUAUGCUUAAUUGCAUUGGGUGCUAUAUUAUUGUUCUUUUUUGGAUACAAGUUAUUAAGAUAAGUAAAAAUGAAAUAAAACGUCAUAUAUUGCAAAGGAAAUUGCUUUGCAACAGUUGCAAUACAAAGUGGAAAGAGUGCAAAUAUUAAAGUCUAAGAUAACGAUAAGGUGCAAAUAAGGCAAAAUGUGGUUCAGAGUAUAGAUGAUGAAAACAAACAGGUUAAAAGGUUUGGGUCAGUCUACGUAGGGUUGCAUUUAGACAUGCAUGUACAGUAUCAGAUCUAAAGUAUAGGUGUUACAGCCACAGUCUUCCCCCUGUGCUCUGGCCUUGGUGUGUGUGUUUGUAGUACAUUGCAUAUGUGGAGACUCUCUCAGUUGAUUGGACCAAGAACCUGAUUGGUGUUCCAGGAAGUCUGAUGUGCGAAUCAGAAGAAGGAAGGCUCUUUAGGAGGAGUAUAAAGUCUGGGCCGAGGCUUCACUCGAGGCGUGGCUGUUGUUCUUCAAGCGCCCCACAUACCUCUCAUGCCUGACUGUUAAAUGCAUUUUAUGCAAAUUGGUCCAAAGUACUAGUCACACCCUUGGGACGGGGCCAGGUCAGUUUAUAUAAAACUGACCUCACAAAUAUAUGUCUUUGAAAUGUAUGUUAUAAACACUAGGGACAGGUGGUGGUGCUUCCCUGUAUUUUUGGUUGAAGAGUUAGAAUUGAAAGUUAACUUGUGUGUAUCUAAAGAGCUCCUUUUUGUAAAUAAAUAACUUUGUGAACCUUAAAA